This 110-nucleotide small RNA is filed under the name Chelonoidis abingdonii (Abingdon island giant tortoise). Its description in RNAcentral is "TUC338 (ENSCABG00000007155.1)". Lineage: Eukaryota; Metazoa; Chordata; Testudines; Testudinidae. The record is from RNAcentral.
AGUCUUCUGUUUAUCCAUAGAACAGAUACAGCAGUAUAAGCUCCCUUGAUGUGCCCUGAGAUGUGACUCAACCUUGAUCUAAAUGGUCCUCUGGAGAUGAAAGUAGACAU